Molecule: non-coding RNA, 21 nt
Filed under: Caenorhabditis elegans
Lineage: Eukaryota; Metazoa; Nematoda; Chromadorea; Rhabditida; Rhabditidae
Source: RNAcentral
UUUUAAAAACUAAUUGACGUC